AUAUCUCUCCGUACGAGAAGGAUGAGAAGCUUCGACUAAGGUUCGAUUCGAGCGCAGCGAGAAAGCGUUGCCGCAGGCAACGACCCGAAGGGCGAAGCGCGCAGCGCUGAGUCAUCCUUCCCCCACCACCA
Molecule: small RNA, 131 nt
Filed under: Salmonella enterica
Lineage: Bacteria; Pseudomonadati; Pseudomonadota; Gammaproteobacteria; Enterobacterales; Enterobacteriaceae
Also listed under: 2 other names
Description: RtT sRNA
Rfam family: RtT RNA
About the family: This family represents a bacterial cis-regulatory element known as RtT RNA. The exact function of RtT is unknown although it is thought that it may be involved in changing the cellular response in relation to amino acid starvation.
Source: RNAcentral